AGUCCUAUUCUGCAAGCGCAGCGCUGCAAAAAGCCUGCGGCGCUCUGAGGCGCCUGGUCCUGGGGACCUCUUUCCACUCUUUACUCUCAAGAUAGGAGGAUGGGUCUGGGGGAUUGUUUUUGGUUUUCUGGUUUUGUUUUACUCUGGUUUGGUCGGUUUUGUAUUUUUCUAUUUUUCCUUUUUUUCCCUUUUUUCUUUUUUGAUUUUUCUUUCCCGUUAUUCUCCCAGCCAAAAGCUACCUUCGACCCUUUUGAUUUGAUGUAGCAAAGAGUGUGUGUCCAGAUUAUCUGAAAUUGACACUGAAGAAGAUCUUGACCUGCAAGAGCGGACAACAACGUGACUCAGGCUGGGACCACUGAGCCUACCUAGGUCACAGGGAGGAAAAAAGGGACCGCAGAACAGCAGAGAUAGGACCUCCCAACCCUGCGCCAGCUGGCAGCUCCCUGCCAGAGAAGCAGAGACAUCCCUCCUUCCUCCCUUCCCCCAUAAGAGCCAAAGGCUCGAAGGCCGAACCUCCCGCCGCCGUCAGCCCACGGGGGCAGCUCUCAGAGAGCCAGGGAGGAGUUGUGAUGAGGGGAGAACCGGGAUCCAGGCCUUAGCCUGCCAGGGGCUCAGUCCGACCGUGGCUACCGCCUGCGGAAGAUACAGCGCCUGCAUAACACCGAGCCAGCAAUUCCAAUAUCAACAUCAAUAAAAAGAAUCGAAAACCUAGGAAGGAGUGGAGGAAAUUUAUUUGCAACGCGACCCAACUUUUCUAUGCGCCAUCUUUUCUGCCCUUGAGUUGGGACGGACUAAGGAGGCCUCAAGGUUUUGCUGAACUUCUCUUUGGAUUCAAAACCAUUCUUGCACUAGUGUCUGUUUGCUUUCUCCAGCUCUGCUCCAAAUCCCGGACCGGACGUCGGAAACCCGCGCCCGCCGCCGUCAGGAACGCUCACGGGCUCCCCGGAGUCUUACAGAAAGCCGGGAAGGAAGGUCCCGUUUCUUCUCUAAGGUCUGGGACUUGAGAGGUGAGAGGGCGGAGGAAAGGAUCUCCCCCCACCCCCAACCGGUAAGAAGGAGGAGGAGGAGGGAGGCUGAGGCGCGGACCCAGGCCCCGAGUGAUUAGUCACACAAUUUAAAGGCAAAGGAGGGAUUAAGCCCGGAGUCUAUUGUUCCAGUUGUUUAGGCACGUGUGACCUCUGAGUUCCCAAACAAAUCGUCUGGGGAAAUCCUUCCUGCGCCCUAAUCAGAUUGUCCAGGGACAGAGGGCCGGACGGCAGGCAGCUCGGGAUACCGAGAGCAGU
This 1283-nucleotide long non-coding RNA is filed under the name Homo sapiens (human). RNAcentral describes it as "HSALNT0307151". The record is from RNAcentral. Lineage: Eukaryota; Metazoa; Chordata; Mammalia; Primates; Hominidae.